CCCUUAGAUGUUCUGGGCUGCACACGUGCUACACUGGCAGGUUCAGCGAGCUUCAUGCCCUGAUCUGAAAGGAAUGGGAAAUCUUUUCAAAACCUGCCGUGCUUGGGAUAGAUGUUUGCAAUUAUUCAUCUUCAACGAGGAUUGCCUUGUAAGCGCACGUCAUCAGCGUGCAUUGAAUACGAGCCUGUAUUCUGUACACACCGCCCGUCGCUCCUACCGAUUGAAGUUUUCGGUGAGUUGACAGGAGGAUUUUUUUGAAACUGGUUCGCCAGUGGAUUUUAGAUCCAAAUGCCAACGAAUCGAUGGCUUUAGAGGAAGGAGAAGUCGUAACA
This 332-nucleotide ribosomal RNA is filed under the name uncultured eukaryote. RNAcentral's name for it is "partial 18S ribosomal RNA". It matches the Rfam family "Eukaryotic small subunit ribosomal RNA", at positions 1470 to 1796 of the family's 1831-position model. The record is from RNAcentral.